UGGCUCCGGCAUNGAUGAAGAACGCAGCGAAAUGCGAUAAGUAAUGUGAAUUGCAGAAUUCAGUGAAUCAUCGAAUCUUUGAACGCACAUUGCGCCCCCCGGCAUUCCGGGGGGCAUGCCUGUCCGAGCGUCAUUUGGUACCCCAAGCCAGGCUUGAUGUUGGGUGCCGCCCCCCGGGGCCCGCCCGGAACUCAGUCGGCGGUCCCAGCCCGGGUGCCAGGCGUAGCAGAGAACCUCGCCUGGGUGCCCGGCUGGCCGCCGCUCUUCGGAGGAAGGACCUAUUGCUUGACCUCGGAUCAGGUAGGGAUACCCGCUGA
This 317-nucleotide unclassified non-coding RNA is filed under the name uncultured fungus. RNAcentral describes it as "partial contains 5.8S ribosomal RNA and internal transcribed spacer 2". The stretch from base 1 to 133 matches the Rfam family "5.8S ribosomal RNA", at positions 22 to 154 of the family's 154-position model. Lineage: Eukaryota; Fungi. The record is from RNAcentral.